ACCGGAAGUUCGACGCAUCCCAAAGAAGCAAGAAUUUUGGAUAGAAGGUGUAAAAAAAAAAUCACAUGCAGAAACGGGGGUUCCUAUCUGCGUAGUGACCCGGCACAGUACGCAUAAGUGGUCCUACCGGCUUGCUCCCUUUGACGUCCUCGAAUGCUCAACCAAGAAGAAAGCGCUUAGCCGCAAUUAGCGGAGGAGAGAAUUUCAACUCGAGCUUCCACUUCAUACACGUAGCAGUCGUGUAACCGAACCUUCGGCUGAAGAGAUUUCCAAGGAAGUUCUCUACGACUCGUGUAACUACGGGCAACAACGUGCAACCUACAAUCGCCUGCCUAUUGGAUUUCAGUGCCCACCGGCGCACUGGAUCGCUUCCAUGGACAUCAGUGGCUCGAUGCUUCGCUGCUGGGCCUAUGGGCCACACCGUAUGUCAUACGCGGCUUUAACUAACGACCCUGAAAGAUCGUUGGCGCUUCUGUGGGCAAGGAGAGGCGCAUCGUUUGGGUCAUCAAACGGCAGCAACGGUAUCGUCGCAAUCAAGUUGGCUCCGAUAAAGGCUGAUGCACGAAAAAGAGAAGUCAAGGCUGGUUUACGAGUCGGGCCGAAGGGAGAAUUAUGCGCUUCUGUCUCUAGCGUUAUGUCUUUUCUUAUAAGAAGCUGCGGAUCGACUGAGAGCGUUAUAUAUAUAUAUAUAGCGAGAGGAACUGUAUUUUUUUGUUAUCGGAUGCUGACGAAUGAUUUACUUUACAACGUUCAGGAUAAC
Long non-coding RNA from Cephus cinctus (wheat stem sawfly), 760 nucleotides. RefSeq lists it as uncharacterized. The transcript is spliced from 3 exons. NCBI's taxonomy places the organism in Eukaryota, Metazoa, Arthropoda, Insecta, Hymenoptera, Cephidae. The record is from RefSeq and is a predicted model, not a curated record.